AGGCCCUUCAAUGAUGCAAAACCUGCAAAAAGCCAAGCAGGGGCCAAUGUUAGCUCCGUCGAGCACAAACCAAGCCUGAAUACUAUCGAUAAAUGCAAAAGGGUACAAACAAAUAUUCAUGGAAACUUCAAGGUCAAUAGUUUGUCAGCCAGAUCCAACAUAUUAACCUACUUUUCAAAAAGAGAUCCAGCAUGUCCAUGUAUUCUUGAUGGAUUGGGAAACUAUGUCCGAACGAGAUUCGUCGCACGGGCAAUCACAAACCGACUCACUAUUCACACGCAGGUAGACCAGCGGAACAACAUGUUUCGCUCACGUCUUACAGUUCACCAGCAGAGCUAAAAUUACCAGCUUCCUAUUCCUAUAGAAUUUUUUACCCAGGUGACGCGGCGGUCUGGU
Molecule: unclassified non-coding RNA, 396 nt
Filed under: Zea mays
Lineage: Eukaryota; Viridiplantae; Streptophyta; Magnoliopsida; Poales; Poaceae
Description: misc RNA Zm00001eb249070
Source: RNAcentral